Long non-coding RNA from Aedes albopictus (Asian tiger mosquito), 266 nucleotides. RefSeq lists it as uncharacterized. The transcript has 3 exons. Lineage: Eukaryota; Metazoa; Arthropoda; Insecta; Diptera; Culicidae. The record is from RefSeq and is a predicted model, not a curated record.
UUCAUAGUAGCUAGUCAGGUUUUUAGUUUUCGUAUGUUUCGUACGACUAUCCACCAACGCAACCGCGAAACCAAACCAAAUGCGGUGUCCAGGAAAAGAACUUUAUUAAAACAGACAAUUCAGCGCAAAGCUUUUAGCAGCAUACGAGGGACGGUGCAAGUUUAUAUCCCCUGAGGAAGGCCGAGUCCAAUGGCCGAAACGUCGGAAUUAAACAAGUAGCACUUGUCUUGAUUUUACGCUAGACUGAAAAGCCACCCGAAAACAAU